ACUAAGGCUUUUUUUAAUGCCACAGAACUGGCAAAAGUAGAUUACAU
Molecule: non-coding RNA, 47 nt
Organism: Tinamus guttatus (white-throated tinamou)
Lineage: Eukaryota; Metazoa; Chordata; Aves; Tinamiformes; Tinamidae
Source: Rfam